Molecule: ribosomal RNA, 253 nt
Filed under: uncultured bacterium
Lineage: Bacteria
Description: partial 16S ribosomal RNA
Rfam family: Bacterial small subunit ribosomal RNA
Source: RNAcentral
UACGGAGGGGGCGAGCGUUAUUCGGAAUUAUUGGGCGUAAAGGGCGCGUAGGCGGCUUGACAAGUCAAAGGUGAAAUCCCUCGGCUCAACUGAGGAACUGCCUUUGAAACUGUCUGGCUUGAGGCCGGGAGGGGGUAGCGGAAUUCCCAGUGUAGCGGUGAAAUGCGUAGAUAUUUGGAGGAACACCGGUGGCGAAGGCGGCUACCUGGCCCAACAUUGACGCUGAGACCCGAAAGCAUGGGGAUCAAACAGG